This 66-nucleotide transfer RNA is filed under the name Nototeredo knoxi. RNAcentral describes it as "tRNA-Gly". Lineage: Eukaryota; Metazoa; Mollusca; Bivalvia; Myida; Teredinidae. The record is from RNAcentral.
UUAAUAGUAGUAUAAUAAGUAUAUCUUCCUUCCAAGAAGAGGGCCCAAAUAAAUUUGGCUAUUAAA